GAGCUUGCUUCGGCAGCACAUAUACUAAAUUUGGAAUGAUACAGAGAAGAUUAUCAUGGCCCCUGUGCAAGGAUGACAUGCAAAUUAGUGAAGUGUUCCAUAUUCAA
This 107-nucleotide small nuclear RNA is filed under the name Phascolarctos cinereus (koala). Lineage: Eukaryota; Metazoa; Chordata; Mammalia; Diprotodontia; Phascolarctidae. The record is from RNAcentral.